This is a long non-coding RNA of Rosa chinensis, 1322 nucleotides long. RefSeq lists it as uncharacterized. The record is from RefSeq and is a predicted model, not a curated record. The transcript is spliced from 3 exons. NCBI's taxonomy places the organism in Eukaryota, Viridiplantae, Streptophyta, Magnoliopsida, Rosales, Rosaceae.
AGCGUUCUUGCUCAAGACCAUCUAUUGGGCGCUGCACUUGGAAGCAUACUCACCGGAAUCUGACGAAGCAUACUCAGGACCGGAGAUCCAAUUUUGGCGUGGAAAUCGAGGAUCGGAGAUAUGCAAUUCUUCAGAUCCCGGGGAAUGCUCCAACCGACGGAGAUUGAGGUGGACUCGAGUUAUGGUGUGUGUGUGUGUGAGAGAGAGAGAGAGGGUGUGUUUUUUAGGUUAUUUUAGGAAGUCUAAAAAGAUGGGAGAUGAAAUAUUAUUAAAAAAAUAAAAGGGUGUGCAGUUUGUAAAUUUGGGUGUGCAAAUUUCACCCCCUAAAAUUAAAUGUCAAAAAGUUUUGGCUAGCAAAGCUUUAUUGAACAUCUCCAUCUCUCUUAAACCCAAAGCACAAUUUCUCCCGUAUGCACCAAUGCAUCCUUUUUUUUUUUAAAAUUUUUUUUAUCUCCACCCGUUCCUCACCAAAACCUGGUAAUUUUGGCAAUCUAAGGACACUCAUGGUAUGAGUGGGUGUUGCGUGAGCCACUGCUUUCACUAAAAUCAUCUUCCCUACUGCUUUUGAGAGAAAUUUGCUAUGCCAAUUCUCCAUGUGGCGAUCCAAUCUUCUGCUUUAUUCCUCCCUCUCAUAGUUGCCUCUCAUUUGGUACAAUUUAAUUUAAGUAGAUUUAUUAUGCAUGAAACUAAAGGAAAAGAAAAGAAGAAGAAGAAGAAGAAGAAGAAGAAGGAGGAUGAGCUAUUGACAAAAAAAAAUAAAAAAGUUUCACUCCUAAUAGUCUAAUACCUUUCUUGGGAAUAGCUCCCUGUAAAAUUAGGCCGUAACUUCUAUUUGAGUCUGCCUAGGAACUAAAAGGGCCCAACCCAAGACCGUAUGUCCGAGUCUAUGUAAAGGCAUAGCUACAGCUAAACGAACCCUAAAAUCAGAAAAAAGUCCCGCAAUCUAGAAAAAUUCCCAAUUCUCUCUGCGAAUCAUGGCAUGGUCCAAGGGGUUCUUUGCUCUCUAUGGCUCCGUUGCGGCAGUCGGGCUUUUAGGCAACGCUGUAAUCUGCACAGCUAUCAGUCGACACGCGCUAAAAAGAUGGAUCGCUAUGAACGAGCGAGUUCUCAUGGGAAGAGGCGUGGAUAUCGCUAAGUUUCGCAAAUGAACCCGACUACUUCUGGCUUGAUGUAAUUAUAACUACAUAAAUGUUGUGAGGAUAUCUCAUGGCUUAGUUCCGUUUUGUACCUUAAUUUUAUGGGAAUGCCGUGUAAGACAGUAAACUUGUCUGGAUAAGUAUCAAAAUCUAUCUGAUGAUUGGUUUAAUAGGGUGUUUUUUUUA